UAAUACUAAAUGCAACCGCAAUGUGGCAAUAUUUUAUUUUCAGACUUUCCCGCCCUGCUUUCAAAAUCAUCUGCAAAUACAGUCUACCGAUAGGCCCGGCUAGCUCAGUCGGUAGAGCAUGAGACUCUUAAUCUCAGGGUCGUGGGUUCGAGCCCCACGUUGGGCGCUGUUUUUUCUUAAAAACCUUUGAAACGAAAGAAAUCAUAUUUUUAGCACUUACUGUACUUUUGUUUUAAUUACGCUACAUUAGCUAUCGCUUCAUACUCCAUACAUUCAUCGUGGAAAAGGAACGCUAGUGGACGUGGCGUUUGGCCAGAGCGAUGUGGAUAGAGCAAGUCAGGAGAUGGUCUUAUCCAGAGCAAGUCCAUACAUUUACAUACUCGGUGCCCCAUGGGAAUCAAACCCACAACCCUAGUAUUGCAAGUGCCAUGCUCUACCAACUAAACCACAUCAUCACAAACCACUUGAUGUCUCAAUGUACUCAAUGACUGGAUUGUACAUUGUUUUUCUUCAUGGUGAUGUAAAGUCUACAGAUGUUUGAGGACAGAGUUUUGUUCUUUCUGGAUCCCAUUUGAAUGAUGAUCAACUCUUACAAUUCCAGCUAUUGAGUCCUGCAAGAUACUCUUCUUAAUUAGGUGGUGCUGCAGCACCCUCAGCACCCCUACUUCCUGUGGCUAUGCCUGGAAUAGCUCAAGAAGGAGGCUAGACUGUUCUGUAGUAGCCAGCGAAGAGUCCAGAUCUGAGUCACAUCCCUAACCUAUGGCGAGAACUGAAAACAGCAGUUGGUGGAGGGCAGCCCUAAAACAUUGAAGAAUUAGAGCAGUUUGCUGCUGAAAACUGGGCCAAAUUGCCUGUAGAAAGGAGCAGCAAGCUCAUUGAUGUCUACAAGAUGUAUUUGUCAGGAGUUAUCUUGGUCAACGGCUGUGCAACCAAGUACUAGGUCCUGGGUGCCAAUACUUUUGCCAAUGCCAUUUGUCUUUAUUUUCUAAAUUAAAAUUGUAAACUUAAGUUUACAAAAUAUAUAUAUAUAUAUAUAUUUGGCCGCAACUGUAUGAUUGAAUUGUUGACAACACACUAUAUUAUACAACAUAAAUGGGUUAAACCCCAUUUCAUGCCCCAUGGGGUUAAUAAUCAAUAUUCAGACUAAAGGUUGCCUAGAAAAUAAUCCCUGUAAUAGUGAUAAAAACUGC
Oncorhynchus tshawytscha (Chinook salmon) is the source of this 1190-nucleotide long non-coding RNA. Lineage: Eukaryota; Metazoa; Chordata; Actinopteri; Salmoniformes; Salmonidae. The record is from Ensembl.